Molecule: ribosomal RNA, 465 nt
Filed under: uncultured bacterium
Lineage: Bacteria
Description: partial 16S ribosomal RNA
Rfam family: Bacterial small subunit ribosomal RNA
Source: RNAcentral
CCUACGGGAGGCAGCAGUAGGGAAUCUUCCACAAUGGGCGAAAGCCUGAUGGAGCAACGCCGCGUGGGUGAAGAAGGUCUUCGGAUCGUAAAACCCUGUUGUCAGAGAAGAAAGUGCGUGAGAGUAACUGUUCACGCUUCGACGGUCUCUAACCAGAAAGCCACGGCUAACUACGUGCCAGCAGCCGCGGUAAUACGUAGGUGGCAAGCGUUAUCCGGAUUCAUUGGGCGUAAGGGGAACGCAGGCGGUCUUUUAAGUCUGAUGUGAAAGCCUUCGGCUUAACCGGCGUAGUGCAUUGGAAACUGGGAGACUUGAGUGCAGAAGAGGAGGGUGGAACUCCAUGUGUAGCGGUGAAAUGCGUAGAUAUAUGGAGGAACACCAGUGGCGAAGGCGGCUCUCUGGUCUGUAACUGACGCUGAGGUUCGAAAGCGUGGGUAGCAAACAGGAUUAGAUACCCCGGUAGUC